UACGGGGGGGGCAAGCGUUGUUCGGAAUUACUGGGCGUAAAGGGCUCGUAGGCGGCCAACUAAGUCAGACGUGAAAUCCCUCGGCUUAACCGGGGAACUGCAUCUGAUACUGGAUGGCUUGAGAUUGGGAGAGGGAUGCGGAAUUCCAGGUGUAGCGGUGAAAUGCGUAGAUAUCUGGAGGAACACCGGUGGCGAAGGCGGCUCUCUGGGACGGUACUGACGCUGAGACGCGAAAGCGUGGGGAGCAAACAGG
Molecule: ribosomal RNA, 253 nt
Filed under: uncultured bacterium
Lineage: Bacteria
Description: partial 16S ribosomal RNA
Rfam family: Bacterial small subunit ribosomal RNA
Source: RNAcentral